Molecule: small nucleolar RNA, 79 nt
Organism: Clarias gariepinus (North African catfish)
Lineage: Eukaryota; Metazoa; Chordata; Actinopteri; Siluriformes; Clariidae
Product: small nucleolar RNA SNORD49
Exons: 1
Source: RefSeq, a predicted model, not a curated record
UCCUGAGAUGAUAACGCUAUAUAGGAAGUGCCGUCUGAUGCGAUAACUGACGAGGUUAAAGAGCUAAACUGUUCUGAGG